UAUCACGUAGAGAAGAUGUUUGAUUCAA
RNAcentral lists this non-coding RNA (28 nucleotides) under Bombyx mori (domestic silkworm). Lineage: Eukaryota; Metazoa; Arthropoda; Insecta; Lepidoptera; Bombycidae. The record is from RNAcentral.